Molecule: ribosomal RNA, 549 nt
Filed under: uncultured bacterium
Lineage: Bacteria
Description: partial 16S ribosomal RNA
Rfam family: Bacterial small subunit ribosomal RNA
Source: RNAcentral
UGGGGAAUAUUGCACAAUGGGCGCAAGCCUGAUGCAGCCAUGCCGCGUGUGUGAAGAAGGCCUUCGGGUUGUAAAGCACUUUCAGCGAGGAGGAAGGUGGUGAGCUUAAUACGCUCAUCAAUUGACGUUACUCGCAGAAGAAGCACCGGCUAACUCCGUGCCAGCAGCCGCGGUAAUACGGAGGGUGCAAGCGUUAAUCGGAAUUACUGGGCGUAAAGCGCACGCAGGCGGUUUGUUAAGUCAGAUGUGAAAUCCCCGAGCUCAACCUGGGAACUGCAUUUGAAACUGGCAAGCUAGAGUCUCGUGGAGGGGGGUAGAAUUCCAGGUGUAGCGGUGAAAUGCGUAGAGAUCUGGAGGAAUACCGGUGGCGAAGGCGGCCCCCUGGACGAAGACUGACGCUCAGGUGCGAAAGCGUGGGGAGCAAGCAGGAUUAGAUACCCUGGUAGUCCACGCUGUAAACGAUGUCGAUUUUGGAGGUUGUGCCCUUGAGGCGUGGCUUCCGGAGCUAACGCGUUAAAUCGACCGCCUGGGGAGUACGGCCGCAAGGUU